UGGAAGACUAGUGAUUUUGUUGUUGUCUCACUGCAUCCAACAACAAGUCCCAGUCUGCCACA
This 62-nucleotide non-coding RNA is filed under the name Canis lupus familiaris (dog). Its description in RNAcentral is "microRNA cfa-mir-7 precursor (cfa-mir-7-2)". Its record names the gene cfa-mir-7-2. It matches the Rfam family "mir-7 microRNA precursor family", at positions 16 to 77 of the family's 91-position model. From Rfam's summary of the family: This family represents the microRNA (miRNA) precursor mir-7. The record is from miRBase by way of RNAcentral. Lineage: Eukaryota; Metazoa; Chordata; Mammalia; Carnivora; Canidae. RNAcentral also lists the same sequence under 2 other names.